This 1662-nucleotide ribosomal RNA is filed under the name Triticum aestivum (bread wheat). Its description in RNAcentral is "partial small subunit ribosomal RNA". Lineage: Eukaryota; Viridiplantae; Streptophyta; Magnoliopsida; Poales; Poaceae. The record is from RNAcentral.
AUGGCCGAGGUCCCUGGAGCUGCCGGCGCCCUCGGCUCCCGGCCCCGGGAGGUCGUGGACGCCCCAGAGCGCGCGCCUGCUCCGUCCCGCGAGCUCUGCUCCGCCGUCGAUGCCGUUAAGGAGGUUCCUGGAGGUUCGGAGGUCAGAGGCGCCGUUGACGCCGACAAGGCAGCCGGUCUGUGUUCCGGCGCCGAGCUCGAAUCGGCGGAGCCGGGUGUUUUGGAUGCGAGAUCAGAAGCUCCGGCGGCGCGAAUCCACGAACAGAAGCUGGGUUGCGGGAGUACGGGUUCCGAUGAAGCUGCCGCAAUCAGCCAUAUCCCCUCACCGGUUGAGCCGUCGCCGUCAGACGCCAGUUCGAAUUCAGACACCAACACCACCACUGGGGCCAUCGGUGGUGCUUCUUCUCCCCCUGCGGACGGGCCCCUGUCCCCGUCCCUGGCAGAAGCAGCUGAUUCUCGAGGACGCGAGCCAGAGGCAGCACACGAAGAGCCAACGGGCGCGUGUGGGGCGCCUGCGGUGGCCUCUAGCGAGCUCGGAGUCGAGUCCAGAGGGGAUUCCGACGGUCAAAACGGCCUUAUCCAAGGGGAAUUGGAGUUGCGUGCCGGCGGCUUUUUGCGUGGCGAAGGGGCAGAGACGGAGCCUGAGGCUCUAGAGGCCUCCACGACGCAGGUUGAGGAAGGAGUGGACGGGAUGGAGACGAGCUUGGAUGACUCCGAGGCGUCGGACGGCUCGACCACGCAGGAGGACUCUGACACCGACGUGGAGACGGAGUCCAGCAGCUCCAGCGUAGAGGAACAGGACACGGGAUAUGGCGUCCACGUCCCACUCAUGGAACAAGUGACCUGUGCGGUGGCCAGGGAGAACAACGCUUCGGAGACGAAGAGUUCUGAUAGGAUGGAUUCAGUAGCUGUAUCAACACUUGUGCUGGCUUCAGGUGCAGCCAUGUUACCUCACCCUUCAAAGGUGCACACAGGUGGUGAAGAUGCUUAUUUCAUAGCUUGCGGCGGCUGGUUUGGUGUAGCAGAUGGAGUUGGUCAGUGGUCAUUUGAAGGAAUCAAUGCGGGGUUGUAUGCGAGAGAGUUAAUGGAUAGUUCCAAAAAAAUUGUUACGGAGAAUCAAGGGGCACCAGGGAUGAGAACCGAGGAAGUUCUUGCUAUGGCGACAGUUGAAGCACGGUCCCCUGGCUCUUCAACUAUCUUGGUUGCUCACUUUGAUGGGCAGGUCCUUCAUGUAUCUAAUAUUGGCGAUUCCGGGUUACUGGUGAUAAGAAAUGGACAAGUAUAUACACAAACAAAGCCGAUGACAUACGGUUUCAAUUUCCCGUUGCAAAUUGAAAAUGGCGUCGAUCCUUCAAGACUUGUACAGAAUUACGCUAUCGAUCUACAAGAAGGUGAUACCAUCAUAACAGCGUCAGAUGGUCUGUUCGACAACGUCUACGACCAUGAGGUGGCAGACAUUGUCUCAAAAUCUCUAGAAGCCGACCGCAAGCCUACGGAGAUUGCCGACCUCCUGGCUGCUAGAGCAAAGGAAGUGGGCAGGUCCGGGUCCGGGAGGAGCCCGUUCUCGGAUGCGGCGCUCGCAGAAGGGUACCUGGGUUACUCCGGGGGCAAGUUGGAUGAUGUAACAGUUGUCGUGUCCAUUGUUCGGAAAUCUGAACUAUAG